This 69-nucleotide transfer RNA is filed under the name Oscaecilia ochrocephala. Its description in RNAcentral is "tRNA-Ala". It matches the Rfam family "tRNA". From Rfam's summary of the family: Transfer RNA (tRNA) molecules are approximately 80 nucleotides in length. Their secondary structure includes four short double-helical elements and three loops (D, anti-codon, and T loops). The record is from RNAcentral. Lineage: Eukaryota; Metazoa; Chordata; Amphibia; Gymnophiona; Caeciliidae.
GAGGUCUUAGCUUAAUUAAAGUGUCUGGGUUGCAUUCAGGAGAUGCGAGUUAGUUUCUUGUAGGCCUUA